Molecule: ribosomal RNA, 490 nt
Filed under: uncultured bacterium
Lineage: Bacteria
Description: partial 16S ribosomal RNA
Rfam family: Bacterial small subunit ribosomal RNA
Source: RNAcentral
AUUGAACGCUGGCGGCAGGCCUAACACAUGCAAGUCGAACGGUAACAGGAAGAAGCUUGCUUCUUUGCUGACGAGUGGCGGACGGGUGAGUAAUGUCUGGGAAACUGCCUGAUGGAGGGGGAUAACUACUGGAAACGGUAGCUAAUACCGCAUAACGUCGCAAGACCAAAAAGGGGGACCUUCGGGCCUCUUGCCAUCGGAUGUGCCCAGAUGGGAUUAGCUAGAAGGUGGGGUAACGGCUCACCUAGGCGACGAUCCCUAGCUGGUCUGAGAGGAUGACCAGCCACACUGGAACUGAGACACGGUCCAGACUCCUACGGGAGGCAGCAGUGGGGAAUAUUGCACAAUGGGCGCAAGCCUGAUGCAGCCAUGCCGCGUGUAUGAAGAAGGCCUUCGGGUUGUAAAGUACUUUCAGCGGGGAGGAAGGGAGUAAAGUUAAUACCUUUGCUCAUUGACGUUACCCGCAGAAGAAGCACCAGCUAACUCCGUG